RNAcentral lists this long non-coding RNA (1594 nucleotides) under Citrus sinensis (sweet orange). RNAcentral describes it as "long non-coding RNA (CSIN_LNC003954)". Lineage: Eukaryota; Viridiplantae; Streptophyta; Magnoliopsida; Sapindales; Rutaceae. The record is from RNAcentral.
UUACUGUUAUUUGGACCAGCAUAUAAAACAAUAAAACACAUUCGGGUUACUGUCAGCCAUAAAAAAAACUAUUUGAAAACCACUCAAUUUAAACCCAUUAGUAUGACGGUACUAAUUUAGGGUACCAAUUUACAAAGUGAUAUAGGCUUUGUUGGGGAAAAAUUAGGUUUUUAAAUUUUUAUAAAACCUUUUGAAGAUCGCUCUCAUAUAAUAUAUAAGAAUUUGUAUUCUAGAAAUUGUACCUUGAAAAUCCGAGUUGGCUUUUUCCGCUGAAGUGAUUUAGGCUCCCAGAUCACGAUCCGUCACCACACAUUUUAUAUCACCCUUUAGUGAAAAUCCUAGGCUCCAAGAAUGCUCAAAAUAAAACUCACGUUGUUUUCUUUUUCAAUAGGGGACCCACCUUGUAAAAUAACAUAAGGCCCCUUACACAUAAGCUUAUUAAAUGGAGCCUCCCACUAAAUGAUAUAUUUAGGCUUUUGACCCAAAUAGCUAGUUAUCUUGCUUAUUAGUCCAGUAGUGGUGCAGUCAAUUAAAUGAGCUAACCCGGGGAUCAUUUGGGAACAUACAAUAGUGGCUACAAUAAUUAGGCCUGUAAUUAAACUAGCCCAAUUAUUUAAUUCCAAAUCAACUCCACUAAAAGAUUGGAACUGACUUCCAUAAUUAUAUGCUCGAGUAAUAAUUCGUCCCAAGCCACAUUGAUUUCUUUACUGCACAAUCCUUCUGCUGUACCGUACAUCCGCCUUGGCCGUACAGCAGUCUCACACUUGUACUCUCACAAUUUGAUGAGAAAUAAAAAAUACAACAAUGAAUCUCUCUUUAAGAGUGGAUAUACAAAUUGAUGAUCAAGUGCCGAAAACCUAUCAAGAGAUGUGUUGUACAAAUUCUUUAUUGUUAAUCCAUAACUCCAAUACUCAUAAUUGCUUCCACCAAGAUACCGGGUAAUCUUGACCACAAGUAUGUGUCGUGCCCAUUGGUAACUCAAAUGGAAUAACAAUUACAAUCAUGAAAUCAUAAUUAACUCAAGAUUAAGAUUACAGUAAAAUCAACGCUUAUGAGAUUUAAUAAGUCUGACAGUUAUUACAACGUUAAUUAAAUCUCAUAUGUGAUCCUGUUCAAUGUAGUCGUACUACAUUAAUAAAUUCAUACAUGAUUAAGACAAAUCAUUUAAUGAAUUUAUUACAGUCUAUACCUAAAUAAAGUGUCCAACUUUAUUUAUCAACUGCGAACUAAAUUUAUUUAAUCAUAAGAUAACUUGUAUUUAUGUCUUCUGUGAAUCCACAUGGUGAUCACAUAAAUACAUAUAAUAUGAUUAAAUGGACUUUAAUACAAAUAUUAAUGCAAUUAAGAUAUUUGAAUAAAAUACCUCAUUUAUUUUAUUAAUCAGAAAAAUUAUUUAUUACAAUUAAAUAAACACAUAUGCUUUUAAAGAGCAUAUUUUCCCAACAGGCUUACCAUGGCAAGGUGCAUAUCAUUCAGCCAACAACAGGCGGUUUGCUCACCCGGCCGAUUGCAUCCACCCAAACCCAAACCCUAUCACAUCUGAAUUCCCUAGUCACCGGAGUUCCAAGCAUUAGUAUGAUUGGAUUCACGAUGG